GUCCGAAGCCUCCAAAGCGUUACCGAUUCGGCAUUUCAUCGGAUCCCUUAAAACUCUAUGCAGUGCACAGCAGGAGAUUGGAGCUUCUGAAGGACCCAAUAUAUUAUAUAGCCCGUGUGGUUGGGCUUAUGCUUAUGUAACCACUCCAAAAGCAUACAGCAAUAACGCGUAAUAAACACAACAAAUUGUGUUCAAUUUUUUUCCAACUUUUCAAUUUAUAUAAAACUGCAUGCAGAGUACAGUUAGAAAUUCAUAGAAUACCAAAAGUGCCAGCCAGUGACCAGAACACCGAUGGAUAUGCAGCUAGGCGCCAUGCUGCACGUGUACAAGGGGGAGUGGCGUCUGCCGACCAUUGACUUUGAAUGUUUACGUGCACUGCAGUGUCUUCUGCGAUUCACCCGCUGUCCAAUGGACGUGGAAACGAAUGCGAAUCCCCUUCACUCUGGAGCUGGAAAGUUGCCCUAUCUGCAGAUUGGCAAAUGACAAAUUCGUGGGCUACGGUAAAAUAAAGCGCGUGCUGGAUAUUGAGGGCGAAAUUUAAUGCAAAUC
RNA transcript from Drosophila obscura, 549 nucleotides. It is a transcript of the gene named metaxin-1 homolog, with no coding region annotated. The record is from RefSeq and is a predicted model, not a curated record. NCBI's taxonomy places the organism in Eukaryota, Metazoa, Arthropoda, Insecta, Diptera, Drosophilidae. The transcript is spliced from 3 exons.